This is a long non-coding RNA of Eufriesea mexicana, 1099 nucleotides long. RefSeq lists it as uncharacterized. Lineage: Eukaryota; Metazoa; Arthropoda; Insecta; Hymenoptera; Apidae. The record is from RefSeq and is a predicted model, not a curated record. The transcript is spliced from 3 exons.
UUAACGGGGUAGAGAAAGCUCGAACGAGAUAUGAUCGUCAUUAUUACUAUUAUCGCAUUAAUUAUCACUAUGACGCAAAGACACACGGAUUGUACGGGAAAAGAACGCGAGAUGUCGUUAUUAAAAUAGUUAUGGCCGAGCUAGCUGAAUCCGUCGGACCACGUAUGGUGUACUCGAUUCUGGCGAAGCGAGCUUCGUCCAUGAAAUAUACCAAGGGGAACGAAUCGAGAUCGAGAAUAGUACAGAAGUUUGAGCACAAGGUAGAAGACGAGAAUAAUCUGUGGAGAGAAGAAAAGAAAGGUAGAGCGCGAGAAAGAAAAAGAGUGAAAGAGAUAUGGAUAGUGAGAAAGGAAGAGUGGGUGCGUGAGACAAACGUGUAAGAGAAGAAGAGAGAAAGAACAAAGGAGAAAAAGAGAUCGAAUGAAUGUGCAGUCAGUCAUGCUACAGCUACUACGACCACUACCCUAAGUAGAUUAUGCUACUUCGCCGCUGAUCUAAUUGUUUACUGUCACGUGUUGCUGUAAACCUAAACUAACGAUACGAUAUAUUUUAUUUAUAUAAUCUAAUCGACUGUAUUUAUUGUAAAUAGUCACGAUGUUUGCUAUGAUAUAAUAUAUCUGUAAUUGGAUGGAACUUGCCUGGAAACUGCGCCCACAGCCCUGUCCUCUAUGAUCAAUGUCUCUCUGUACACGUUCACACACACAUCAGACUGGCGCGUGUCUCUAACACGCGUGCAUGCAACACGUAUACGGAUACAUGCAAAGUAUUUGCUAUCGUGAAUCAUCGGCACUCCGGGAAGAAACAUAGUAAUUGGAGAAACUGCUACAUACUUGUUUCGAUUAAUAAGAAGCGGGAGGCACGACUAAUGGGCGUUUAUCCGAGGAAAAGUGGACACUUAUCCGGGGACUACUGUACAUGGUAACGAAGAUAGAUGUCGUCGAGACACUCAUGGGACAAAAAGAAGAUUGACCAGCUUAUUAAUCAACAUCCGUCACUGUCUCUUCAUUCUGGCAAGUAUGCAGAGUACCAAAAGAAAACUGGCUAACUGAAAUGAAAGGUGAAUUAGACGAUUUUGAUCUUAUCGUGGUCUCGGUAUUAA